GAAGGAACGCUGGCGGCAUGCCUAACACAUGCAAGUCGAACGAGACCUUCGGGUCUAGUGGCGCACGGGUGCGUAACGCGUGGGAACCUGCCCUUAGGUUCGGAAUAACUCCCCGAAAGGGGUGCUAAUACCGGAUAAUGUCUUCGGACCAAAGAUUUAUCGCCUUUGGAUGGGCCCGCGUUGGAUUAGCUAGUUGGUAGGGUAAAAGCCUACCAAGGCGACGAUCCAUAGCUGGUCUGAGAGGAUGAUCAGCCACACUGGGACUGAGACACGGCCCAGACUCCUACGGGAGGCAGCAGUGGGGAAUAUUGGACAAUGGGCGAAAGCCUGAUCCAGCAAUGCCGCGUGAGUGAUGAAGGCCUUAGGGUUGUAAAGCUCUUUUACCCGGGAUGAUAAUGACAGUACCGGGAGAAUAAGCUCCGGCUAACUCCGUG
Molecule: ribosomal RNA, 434 nt
Filed under: uncultured bacterium
Lineage: Bacteria
Description: partial 16S ribosomal RNA
Rfam family: Bacterial small subunit ribosomal RNA
Source: RNAcentral